CCUACGUGGGGCAGCAGUGGGGAAUAUUGCACAAUGGGGGGAACCCUGAUGCAGCGACGCCGCGUGAGUGAAGACGUAUUUCUGUAUUUAAAGCUCUAUCAGCAGGGGAGCAAAUGACGGUACCUGACUAAGAAGCCCCGUCUAACUACGUGCCACCAGCCGCGGUAAUACGUAGGGGGCAAGCGUUAUCCGGAUUUACUGGGUGUAAAGGGAGCGUAGACGGUUAUGCAAGUCUGAAGUGAAAGCCCAAGGCUGAAACAUGGGACUGCCUUGGAAACUGGAAAACUAGAGGGCAGGAGAGGUAAGCGGAAUUCCUAGGGUAGCGGUGAAAUGCGGAGAUAUUAGGAGGAACACCAGUGGCGAAGGCGGCUUACUGGACUGUAACUGACGUUGAGGCUCGAAGGCGUGGGGAGCAAACAGGAUUAGAUACCCUGGUAGUC
RNAcentral lists this ribosomal RNA (440 nucleotides) under uncultured bacterium. RNAcentral describes it as "partial 16S ribosomal RNA". It matches the Rfam family "Bacterial small subunit ribosomal RNA", at positions 338 to 795 of the family's 1533-position model. The record is from RNAcentral.